UACGUAGGGUGCGAGCGUUGUCCGGAAUUAUUGGGCGUAAAGAGCUCGUAGGCGGUGUGUCACGUCGGCCGUGAAAACCUGCAGCUUAACUGUGGGCGUGCGGUCGAUACGGGCAUCACUGGAGUUCGGCAGGGGAGACUGGAAUUCCUGGUGUAGCGGUGAAAUGCGCAGAUAUCAGGAGGAACACCGAUGGCGAAGGCAGUUCUCUGGGCCGUAACUGACACUGAGGGACGAAAGCUAGGGGAGCGAAUGGG
Molecule: ribosomal RNA, 254 nt
Filed under: uncultured bacterium
Lineage: Bacteria
Description: partial 16S ribosomal RNA
Rfam family: Bacterial small subunit ribosomal RNA
Source: RNAcentral